Molecule: ribosomal RNA, 511 nt
Filed under: uncultured bacterium
Lineage: Bacteria
Description: bacterial SSU rRNA
Rfam family: Bacterial small subunit ribosomal RNA
Source: RNAcentral
GAUGAACGCUAGCGAUAGGCCUAACACAUGCAAGUCGAGGGGCAUCACAUGAAGUAGCAAUACGGAUGGUGGCGACCGGCGCACGGGUGAGUAACACGUAUGCAACCUGCCUUCAACAAGGGGAUAACCCGUUGAAAGACGGACUAAUACCCUAUAACACAGGGGUCCCGCAUGGGAAUAUUUGUUAAAGGACAACCGGUUGAAGAUGGGCAUGCGUUCCAUUAGCUAGUUGGCGGGGUAAGGCCCACCAAGGCAACGAUGGAUAGGGGAACUGAGAGGUUUAUCCCCCACACUGGUACUGAGACACGGACCAGACUCCUACGGGAGGCAGCAGUGAGGAAUAUUGGUCAAUGGACGCAAGUCUGAACCAGCCACGUCGCGUGAAGGAAGACGGCCCUACGGGUUGUAAAACUUCUUUUAUACGGGAAUAAAGUGCCCCACGCGUGGGGUUUUGCAUGUACCGUAUGAAUAAGGAUCGGCUAACUCCGUGCCAGCAGCCGCGGUAAGUACG